UACGGGGGGAGCAAACGUUGUUCGGAAUCACUGGGCGUAAAGGGCGCGCAGGUGGCCCGGUAAGUGGUGUGUGAAAUCCCCUGGCUCAACCAGGGAAAUGCGCUCCAAACUGUCGGGCUUGAGGGCAGUAGAGGAAACUGGAAUUCCUGGUGUAGCGGUGAAAUGCGUAGAUAUCAGGAGGAACACCGUUGGCGAAGGCGAGUUUCUGGGCUGUCCCUGACACUGAGGCGCGAAAGCUGGGGGAGCAAACAGG
This 253-nucleotide ribosomal RNA is filed under the name uncultured bacterium. RNAcentral's name for it is "partial 16S ribosomal RNA". It matches the Rfam family "Bacterial small subunit ribosomal RNA", at positions 524 to 776 of the family's 1533-position model. The record is from RNAcentral.